Molecule: ribosomal RNA, 497 nt
Filed under: uncultured bacterium
Lineage: Bacteria
Description: partial 16S ribosomal RNA
Rfam family: Bacterial small subunit ribosomal RNA
Source: RNAcentral
GAUGAACGCUGGCGGCGUGCCUAAUACAUGCAAGUCGAGCGAACAGACGAGGAGCUUGCUCCUCUGACGUUAGCGGCGGACGGGUGAGUAACACGUGGAUAACCUACCUAUAAGACUGGGAUAACUUCGGGAAACAGGAGCUAAUACCGGAUAAUAUAUUGAACCGCAUGGUUCAAUAGUAAAAGACGGUUUUGCUGUCACUUAUAGCUGGAUCCGCGCCGCAUUAGCUAGUUGGUAAGGUAACGGCUUACCAAGGCAACGAUGCGUAGCCGACCUGAGAGGGUGAUCGGCCACACUGGAACUGAGACACGGUCCAGACUCCUACGGGAGGCAGCAGUAGGGAAUCUUCCGCAAUGGGCGAAAGCCUGACGGAGCAACGCCGCGUGAGUGAUGAAGGUCUUCGGAUCGUAAAACUCUGUUAUUAGGGAAGAACAAAUGUGUAAGUAACUAUGCACGUCUUGACGGUACCUAAUCAGAAAGCCACGGCUAACUACGUG